CUACGGGACGCUCCAGUGGGGAAUAUUGCACAAUGGAGGAAACUCUGAUGCAGCAACGCCGCGUGGAGGAUGACACUUUUCGGAGCGUAAACUCCUUUUAUAUAGGAAGAAGAUGACGGUACUAUAUGAAUAAGCGCCGGCUAACUCCGUGCCAGCAGCCGUGGUAAUACGGAGGGCGCAAGCGUUACUCGGAAUCACUGGGCGUAAAGAGCGUGUAGGCGGAUUAAAAAGUCAGAAGUGAAAUCCUAUAGCUUAACUAUAGAACUGCUUCUGAAACUCUUAAUCUAGAAUAUGGGAGAGGUAGAUGGAAUUUCUGGUGUAGGGGUAAAAUCCGUAGAGAUCAGAAGGAAUACCGAUUGCGAAGGCGAUCUACUAGAACAUUAUUGACGCUGAGACGCGAAAGCGUGGGGAGCAAACAGGAUUAAAUACCCUCGUAGUC
This 439-nucleotide ribosomal RNA is filed under the name uncultured bacterium. RNAcentral describes it as "partial 16S ribosomal RNA". It matches the Rfam family "Bacterial small subunit ribosomal RNA", at positions 339 to 795 of the family's 1533-position model. The record is from RNAcentral.